This is a long non-coding RNA of Daphnia pulex (common water flea), 665 nucleotides long. RefSeq lists it as uncharacterized. NCBI's taxonomy places the organism in Eukaryota, Metazoa, Arthropoda, Branchiopoda, Diplostraca, Daphniidae. The transcript is spliced from 3 exons. The record is from RefSeq and is a predicted model, not a curated record.
CUGCUGUUUUGUUUCAUCUUUCAUUGUUACACAAAACACAAUACACAGUUUCGAAAAAGAGACGAGUUUAUUGCUUAGUAAGUAAGUGAGUGCUCAAGUUUAUUAAGAUGUAGAAAAGGAAAGAUAACUUUUGUGAAAACGUUCGUGGCUGCACGAUGAAUAGCACAGCUAUUAAAGUUUCAAAAACGUGGUGGUAGUGUUCGUGUAUAAACUCUGGUGUCGUGGCUCUUGACACACUCUCCAUUCCAUGCUGUUUGGCGGAUUGGAGACCUCUGAACCAGCCAUCAUUACAACACAAUAUGCAAGUUUUGCUUCUACUGGUGUUGACCUGCCAUCAGCAACAAUCUCUUCAGUCAUUGCUUAUGGAUAAACAGCAUCCAGACAUCCAGUUUGAUUGGAAAAACUCUGUCCUCGUGUACAUCCAUGUGAAUGUGGGGGUCGGCGGCGGCUCUCUCUAUCUAGCUCGGACCCCAUAAUCGAUUCUGGAGCUCUCUCUCUCUCGCGCGGGCUCGCUGAUGCGCUCGCAUCUAUUGGUUUCUUUCCAUCUCUACACAAUGUCUAGUAUGGUGAAGUAGAGUGUAUAUGCACAUUGCACAAGAUCGACCUAUACGCAUAAGAUGAAAAGACGGCGACUAUUUUCCAUUUCAUCUCGAGUAGAGAGAGAG